RNAcentral lists this ribosomal RNA (211 nucleotides) under uncultured bacterium. RNAcentral's name for it is "partial 16S ribosomal RNA". It matches the Rfam family "Bacterial small subunit ribosomal RNA", at positions 568 to 774 of the family's 1533-position model. The record is from RNAcentral.
UUCGUAGGUGGCUUGCUAAGUCAGACGUGAAAUCCCUCAGCUUAACUGGGGAACUGCGUCUGAUACUGGCGAGCUUGAGUGCAGGAGAGGAACGCAGAAUUCCAGGUGUAGCGGUGAAAUGCGUAGAUAUCUGGAGGAAUACCGGUGGCGAAGGCGGCGUUCUGGACUGCAACUGACACUGAUGAACGAAACGCCGAGGGGAGACGAAACG